AAAUGAAUAGACGGGGGCCCGCACAAGCAGUGGAGUAUGUGGUUUAAUUCGAGGCAACGCGAAGAACCUUACCAGGGUUUGACAUCCCGUGCGAUAACUGGAGACAGUUAGUUCCCUUCGGGGACAUGGAGACAGGUGGUGCAUGGUUGUCGUCAGCUCGUGUCGUGAGAUGUUCGGUUAAGUCCGGCAACGAGCGCAACCCUUAUUGCCAGUUGCCAUCAUUUGGUUGGGCACUUUGGCGAGACUGCCGUUGACAAAACGGAGGAAGGUGGGGAUGACGUCAAAUCAUCAUGCCCCUUAUAUCCUGGGCUACACACGUACUACAAUGGGCGUUACAGAGGGCAGCCACACCGCGAGGUGGCGCGAAUCCCAAAAGGCGUCCUCAGUUCGGAUUGCAGGCUGCAACUCGCCUGCAUGAAGUCGGAAUUGCUAGUAAUGGCAGGUCAGCAUACUGCCGUGAAUACGUUCCCGGGCCUUGUACACACCGCCCGU
This 492-nucleotide ribosomal RNA is filed under the name uncultured bacterium. RNAcentral's name for it is "bacterial SSU rRNA". It matches the Rfam family "Bacterial small subunit ribosomal RNA", at positions 903 to 1397 of the family's 1533-position model. The record is from RNAcentral.